This 498-nucleotide ribosomal RNA is filed under the name uncultured Glomus. RNAcentral's name for it is "SSU rRNA". It matches the Rfam family "Eukaryotic small subunit ribosomal RNA", at positions 569 to 1071 of the family's 1831-position model. Lineage: Eukaryota; Fungi; Glomeromycota; Glomeromycetes; Glomerales; Glomeraceae. The record is from RNAcentral.
AGCAGCCGCGGUAAUUCCAGCUCCAAUAGCGUAUAUUAAAGUUGUUGCAGUUAAAAAGCUCGUAGUUGAAUUUCGGGAUCGACGGGUCGGUCGCGCCUCUGGUGUGUACUGGCCCUGUCGGUUUCUCCCUUCUGACGAACCACGAUGUCAUUAAUUUGGUGUCGUGGGAAAUCAGGACUGUUACUUUGAAAAAAUUAGAGUGUUUAAAGCAGGCAUUCGCUUGAAUACAUUAGCAUGGAAUAAUGAAAUAGGACGUUUGAUCUUAUUUUGUUGGUUUCUAAGAUCGACGUAAUGAUUAAUAGGGAUAGUUGGGGGCAUUAGUAUUCAAUUGUCAGAGGUGAAAUUCUUGGAUUUAUUGAAGACUAACUACUGCGAAAGCAUUUGCCAAGGAUGUUUUCAUUAAUCAAGAACGAAAGUUAGGGGAUCGAAGACGAUCAGAUACCGUCGUAGUCUUAACCAUAAACUAUGCCGACUAGGGAUCGGAUGAUGUUAAUUUUU